AAGUCGUAACAAGGUUUCCGUAGGUGAACCUGCGGAAGGAUCAUUACAGAGAAUAUCGCCCUUACGGGUGACUCUCCAACCCUAUGUUAUUAUACCUUUGUUGCUUUGGCGGGCCGCCUUGGCCACCGGCUCACGCUGGUGAGUGCCCGCCAGAGGACCCCAAACUCUGAAUGUUUAUGUCGUCUGAGUACUAUAUAAUAGUUAAAACUUUCAACAACGGAUCUCUUGGUUCUG
Molecule: unclassified non-coding RNA, 234 nt
Filed under: Xenopolyscytalum sp.
Lineage: Eukaryota; Fungi; Ascomycota; Leotiomycetes; Helotiales; Hamatocanthoscyphaceae
Description: partial contains small subunit ribosomal RNA, internal transcribed spacer 1, and 5.8S ribosomal RNA
Rfam family: Eukaryotic small subunit ribosomal RNA (bases 1-46)
Source: RNAcentral